CUCAAGGAAUCAGGCACCCAUUCUUUCUCCCUCUCUCACGUCGACAACCCAGACAAAACCAGCAAGAGCACCUUCCCUUCACGACAUCCCUCUUUCAACCUUCAAACCCAUAUUUCUCUAAAUUUCUUUGAAGAAAACGUCAAUGGCUGCGAGGGCAUGACCCGUUCUUCUUCCCUCUGAUCUUCGAAGGACCUACUUUCGAAAUCAAGUAUAGAAUCAUCCGAAAAUUUCACUUCCUUGACCUUGAAUUUUGCUUAUUUGGGGAAGGAAUCAGUGAGUUUUGGUCCUGUUGAUUAAACAUCAAAUUCAAGCCAAAAACAAGCAUUGAAUCUGUUCUUUCUCGUUUCUUGUUAUUGCUAACAGAAGCUUGUCUACAGAUCGAAACUAGUGGGAAAUAAUGGAUUAGCGAGGUGAUUAGAGAUUUCAAGGAUGUAAAUUGAGCUGAGCUCUUAGGAAUUUAUAGUUUUGUAUUAGGAAUUUUGGAUAAAUGUAAAUUUUGUUGGCUGUGUUGGUUAAAUCGGACUUGUAGAAAAUUGUAUGAUUAUCCUUUGCUUUAGUUAGUUGUUUGUUUUGAAAUAUAGCUGAGUUAGUUACGUUAAUAAGCUGGUGAUCCCUUUACUCAAGUUUUGGAAGUGUGAUUUCAACUUCUUGGGAAGUGAACCCCGUGAUGACCCUGUUUACUCAGUCGACAGUAAGUCGGGUUGUUACAAAAGUGGUGUCUUUGCAAAUUAUUUUUUGUUGGUCGAUCUAACAGCGAAUAAUAUAUGGGUCAAUCAACAAGUCUUGUAUGGGAUCGUCUCAUCAAGAAAUAAUCUUUCUCAAUUGAUUACUUUAAAAUUGUAAGUGAUCACUUACUUUAAAACUAUAAGUACACAGUGAAUCAAUCUAAAAGAAAUAAUCUUACCGUGAGAUCAUAUCAUUUAAGAAUUUGUGAACAAAUUAUUACUCUUUAUUUUUACACACUAAUUAUGACUCUUUAUUAUUCUUCUAAAUAGUUUCGUUUCCUCACCAAACCCUUAUCUAAAAUCUUAACUGGUCUAUAAUAUUUCACCAUCUCUAUAAAUCUGUCACAUCUUUGAAAGCUAGCAUAAGAGGAUAAUGUAUUAAUUUUCACUAAAAUGAAGAAAUGUAGUAUAAACCUAAGUAAAAGCAUUUGGUUAAGAUGAAUUGAAUAUAGUUAAACCACUUAUUUAAUCAAUAAAUAGAGAAAUGUAAGAAUAAAACAGUGUGCUAAAUUGAUUAAAUACAAUAAUGAAUCGAGGAUGGAGUAGAGUUAAAUAAGAA
Amaranthus tricolor (Joseph's coat) is the source of this 1284-nucleotide long non-coding RNA. RefSeq lists it as uncharacterized. The record is from RefSeq and is a predicted model, not a curated record. NCBI's taxonomy places the organism in Eukaryota, Viridiplantae, Streptophyta, Magnoliopsida, Caryophyllales, Amaranthaceae. The transcript is spliced from 3 exons.